Molecule: long non-coding RNA, 1399 nt
Filed under: Homo sapiens (human)
Lineage: Eukaryota; Metazoa; Chordata; Mammalia; Primates; Hominidae
Description: non-protein coding lnc-BNC2-4:1
Source: RNAcentral
CUGAGGACAUUGUACACGCAGAGUUUGGAGCCUCUUCCACCAAGAGGAUCUGGCUUUGGAGCAUCAGAAAAUGAAACUGAAUUUGCUGAAGGUGAAAGUGAAGCUAAACAGGAAAUUCUUAAAAACAAAGAUCUGGCUGUUCAACAUGCCCAUUUUUAUGGGCUUGGAUGGACUAAAUAAAGAUAAUAUCACCGUUUGUAAAACUGGAGAUGUUUUUAAGGCUAAAAAUCUCAUUGAGGUAAUGUGGAAUUCUCAUGAAGCCCGUGAAAAAUUUCUUCAUCCAGGAAUUUUUUAGACAAGUGAAUUUUUUGAGUGAUACAUGUCAAGGUGACAAUGCAUUUCCAAAUGGGUUAGAUGUUACCUUUGAAGUAACUGAAUUAAGGAAAUUAAUGGGCAGUUAAAACACCAUGGUUGGAAACAAUGAAGGGAGUACGGUACUUGGCCUCAAACUCCCUGAUCUUCUAGGUUAUGCAGAAAAGGCGACUUUUCAUUUUUCCCAUGGAACAAAAGACGCUUCCCAUGGCCUUUCUUCAAACCAUGGCCCGGAAACUUCAAAAGGAAUUUAUCUGUAAACUUACAUGAAGUUACUGAACAGUUCCCUUGGAGCUCACUUCCGGAAAUGAACAGAAGAUGAUCAGCCAAGUACAGUCUUCCCAUAUGAAAGACCAGCCACACCAACAAUUGGAAAGGCAUGUGGCGAGACCUGGGCUGUCACUUAAGGACAGCAUCAUUUGCUGUUUGAAAGUAAGGCAGACAUUCACUUAAAUCAUGUCUUUCACAUGCCAUGGUCAUCGAUUUUCAGAAUUCUUCCAUCUUACCAAGAAAAUGUGUUUUGCUGAAAGUUAACCAGGAACUGACAGGCUACACUACAAGGGAUAUAAGCUUCAUCAAAGAUUUUGAACUUCAGUUGAAUAAACCACUCAUAUUUGAUUCAGUUUUUUCAGCAAUUCUCUGAGGUGGGAUGUUGGCACCCAUGGUGAUAAACUGUGAGUCCUGCUGAUAGUUUCACCUUGGGGGACCAACAAGUGUCCAAGGAUUCAGCAUGCACAGCACCGGAGCAGAGUGCAGGCGACCACCUAGGUGGAGAAGCACGCUGGGCCAGCGGACCGCAACUGUGUACGCCAACACGUUUAAAGCCAAGCCAGGGCAGUUUGGGAGAACUUUUCCAAACACUUUUUUCUCAACACAGGAAACCUCUGCAACCUCAACUAUGGGGAGGGCCCCAAAGUGUAUUCGUGAGCUGGCUGAAUGUAUCUGCCAGUUUUAUGGCACCAGGAUUGUCUUUAGGCUUGGCAACAUGGCUCUGUUGGAACUUAAUUACUACUUUCCUAUGGGAGUGCAGACAGGCAACAGGAUAUGUGAUAGCAUCUAGUUUUGAGCUGGGAUAAGGUUCCUGUAG